RNAcentral lists this ribosomal RNA (2726 nucleotides) under Epichloe baconii ATCC 200745. RNAcentral describes it as "bacterial LSU rRNA". It matches the Rfam family "Bacterial large subunit ribosomal RNA", at positions 1 to 2513 of the family's 2925-position model. Lineage: Eukaryota; Fungi; Ascomycota; Sordariomycetes; Hypocreales; Clavicipitaceae. The record is from RNAcentral.
UGGCAAAAUAGGAAGCUUCAACCUUCAAAUUCUUGGUUCAAGUCCAAGUACUCUUGAUGCGAAGCAUAGCUUCGCAUAAAUGAUAAACGGAUUAGGGCCGGCGUGGGUAGGCAUCUCGUUUGGGGCGGGAGAUAGUUAUGUUCGAAUCAUAAUAAUCCGAUUAUUAGAACUAUUAGAAAUAAAGAAAAACUGAUAUAUAAUUAUUAAUUAUAAAAAUAUAAGUAUACAAAGAAACUAUUAUGGAAUUUAAGCUAUGUAUUAAAGAGAAUAAGUUACAUAAAUAAGUAAAAACUCUUAUAAAUGUAUAAACUCUAAGAGAAAUCUAAUACUAAACGAAGUGAAUUGAAAUAUCUUAGUAACUUCAGGAAAAGAAAUCAAAAGAGAUUCUAUGAAUAGCGUGAGCGAAAGUAGAGGAGCCUAAAAAGUAGAACGGUAUCAAAACUGUUUAAAUAUUGGGGAACCUUCCUCAAAGGCUAAAUAUAAUACAUAAGCGAUAGUGAAAAGUACCAUGAGGGAACAAAAACAAAAAUAGUAGUUUUAUAAGCAGUUCGUGAGCGCAAGCUCUAGAACGUACCUUUUGCAUAAUGGGUCACCAAGUUAACAUUAGAUGCGAGCUGAAAAGUAAGCGUAGUUAAACCGAACGUUAAAAUAAUGAAUAAGUGUCUAAAGUUAGACCCGAAGCCAGGUGAUUUUACCAUGGUCAGGAUUAUAAAAGUCCGAACGGGUGAUUGUAGCAAAAAUCUCCGAAGAACCGUGGUAGGUGUAGUGAAAGACAACACUGACUUGGAUAGCUGGUUUUCUGCGAAACCUAUAAUAGUAGGCAAUUUAAGUAAACAUCUUAGCAGGUACAGAAUUUAAUCUCAGACAAGGCAUUUUAUAUGUUUUAUAUUGUACAAAUUGGGGGACCAUGAAGGUUUUAUCAGUGAGUAUGUAGACUCGGAAUGGCAAAGAUGUAUCUUAAAUGAUCAGACAUAGAAUGAUAAGGUUGUAUGUCGAAAGGGAAACAGCCCAGAACAAGAGUUAAGGUUCCUAAAUUAUUAGUUGAGUGAAAUUAAGAAGGUUUUUAUUAAAGUCGACAAGGAGAUAGGCUUAGAAGCAGCCAUAAUUUUAUGACCUCGUAACAGAGCGCUUGUUAAGUUAUAAAAGCAUCGAAAAUUUAACGGAUCUAAACAAUAUACCGAAACCUUGUCCAUGAUAUAUUAUAAUGAUAAUAUUAUUAUAAUUUAAUGGGGUAGCAGAACGUUGAGCUAAAUUACGAGUUUUAUUUUUUUAAAUAGAAUGAUAAUGAUUUAACUCAAGUGAGAAUGGUGACAUGAGUAACUAAAAGAAAAUUUUCCGCCUUAAGCUUAUGGAUAUAUUUAAGUAACGGCCUCUAAGUUUAUAUUAUCUAAAGAUUUAAACGAUGAGAAAAUCUUUUUUACUAAGGACGACAUUUUAGUGUAAAAUGUACUGGAAAAAUAGUAAAUAUAUUUAUAGUAAGCGUAAGUUUAUUAUAAAUGAAGAAUAACCGUACCUAGAAUCUGAAACAAGUAAGCUAGUAGAGAAUACGAAGGCGUAAAUGGGCUAACAAUCAUAAAGGAACUCGGCAAAUUGACUACCGUAACUUCGGAAUAAGGAGGGCUCAUUAUUCUUGAUUAAUAUCAAGUAAAGAGGAAGAAGCAUGAAAUAAUGUUGUACGACUGUUUAAUUAAAACACAGCACUCUGCUGAAAGAUGAAAAAUCUAAGUAUAGAGUGUGAUAUCUGCCCGGUGCCGGCUGGUUAACAGAGAUAAUUUAAUAUACUACUAUUUGAUGUCGACGGAAACCCCGGUUAAAGGCGGCCUUAACGUGAGGGUCCUAAGGUAGCGAAAUGCCUUGGCCGUUAAAUGCGGUCUUGCAUGAAUGGUGUAACGAUACAACAGCUGUCUCUAUGAUUGACCCAGUGAAAUUGGAAUAGCAGUGCAGAUACUGCUUACCUCUAGUUAGACGAGAAGACCCUAUGCAGCUUUACUGUCACUAAUUAUAGAUUAUGAUAGACAAUUUUCAGAUUAUAAGGUAAUUGAUUUAUGACAAUGAGAAACCUUUAUUUUUCUUUCAUAUGAAUGAAUUGGUUUAGGAGUAUAAGUAGAUUAUAGUUUAUGUGACUUUACUGAGUCAACUUGUUAAAUUAUAGUCUGUAUGCUUAUACUAGUAGAUCAGCCUAAUUCAACUUACUAUAUUUAUUAUAGUAGGUACCCUUUGGUAAGGAACUAUCGCUAGGGGACAGUUUAUGUGGGGCACAGACCCUGUAAAGAGUAAACAGGAGUGUCUAAAAAUUUAUAAAUAUUUUGUUUGCAAUUUUGAAUAAGAAUUUAUUCUUAUUUUUAAUCAUAUACAAUUGAUUAUAUUUGCAUUUAUUGUAAAUAUAGUUAAGAUUAGGUAGGAUUUUCACUAUAUAGAAAUUAGAGAUAAUAAAAAUAUUAUGGAGAAGUUCUUCUAAUAUUUUUUAGCUAUUUAUUAAAUAGUUAUGUUUACAAUAUCUAAAAAGCUCAACGGCUUAAUCCUGCCUUACUGUUUGAUUAUCUACAAAUCUUACAGUUGCGUAAGCAGGGCAUAGGAUCACAAGAUGCAACAAGGAAAGAUCUUGGAUUAUUGGAAAAGCUACGCUAGGGAUGUUUGUCCUUUAAUAUUUUAUAUUGUAUGGUUAACUAAAGUUAUACCUCUGUACGGUGUAUACCUGCACGCACGCACGCAUGCAAACAUAUAAA